This 30-nucleotide non-coding RNA is filed under the name Rattus norvegicus (Norway rat). The record is from RNAcentral. Lineage: Eukaryota; Metazoa; Chordata; Mammalia; Rodentia; Muridae.
UGGGAGUAUCCUGAAAAGAAGGGUAGGCGC